CUGAGCACCCUCUGGGGAUCUUGUUAAAAUGUUGAUUGAGGUCUGGGGUGUGGUUGGAAGUCUGUGUUUCUAACAGGCUCCCAGGUGAUGUCAGA
This 95-nucleotide microRNA precursor is filed under the name Marmota monax (woodchuck). Lineage: Eukaryota; Metazoa; Chordata; Mammalia; Rodentia; Sciuridae. The record is from RNAcentral.